GGACGAACGCUGGCGGCGUGCCUAAUACAUGCAAGUCGAACGGUCUUUCUAUGGAAGCUUGCUUCCACUGAGAAGAUAGUGGCGAACGGGUGAGUAACACGUGGGUAACCUGCCCAUAAGAGGGGGAUAACAUCCGGAAACGGGUGCUAAUACCGCAUAGUUUUCUUGAUCGCAUGAUCGGGAAAGGAAAGACGGCCUUUGUGCUGUCGCUUAUGGAUGGACCCGCGGCGUAUUAGUUAGUUGGUGAGGUAACGGCUCACCAAGACGAUGAUACGUAGCCGACCUGAGAGGGUGAUCGGCCACAUUGGGACUGAGACACGGCCCAAACUCCUACGGGAGGCAGCAGUAGGGAAUCUUCCGCAAUGGACGAAAGUCUGACGGAGCAACGCCGCGUGAGUGAAGAAAGGUUUUCGGAUCGUAAAACUCUGUUGUCAGAGAAGAACAAGUUGGAGAGUAACUGCUCCAGCCUUGACGGUAUCUGACCAGAAAGCCACGGCUAACUACGUGCCAGCCGCCGC
RNAcentral lists this ribosomal RNA (518 nucleotides) under uncultured bacterium. RNAcentral describes it as "bacterial SSU rRNA". It matches the Rfam family "Bacterial small subunit ribosomal RNA", at positions 27 to 518 of the family's 1533-position model. The record is from RNAcentral.